This 327-nucleotide ribosomal RNA is filed under the name uncultured eukaryote. RNAcentral's name for it is "partial 18S ribosomal RNA". It matches the Rfam family "Eukaryotic small subunit ribosomal RNA", at positions 1470 to 1796 of the family's 1831-position model. The record is from RNAcentral.
CCCUUAGAUGUUCUGGGCCGCACGCGUGCUACACUGAGUGGAUCAGCGGGUCAGGUUGCGCGAAAGCGUUUCCUAAUCUUUAAAUCCGCUCGUGAUGGGGAUUGACGGUUGCAAUUUUCUGUCAUGAACGAGGAAUACCUUGUAAGCGCGGGUCAUCAUCCCGCGCUGAUUACGUCCCUGCCCUUUGUACACACCGCCCGUCGCUACUACCGAUUGAACGGUUUAGUGAGGGCCUCGGAUUGGUCUCGGCCCGCUCUUUACCGGGCGGCGCCGUUGGUCGAGAAGACGCUCGAACUUGAUCGUUUAGAGGAAGUAAAAGUCGUAACA